UUGCCAGCCCGCUCAAGAAACUUAAUGAAUUGACGGGGCCCGCACAGCGUGGAGCAUGUGGUUAAUUCGAAGCAACGCGAAGAACCUUACCAGGCCUUGACAUGCAGAGAACUUCCAGAGAUGGAUUGGUGCCUUCGGGAACUCUGACACAGGUGCUGCAUGGCUGUCGCCAGCUCGUGUCGUGAGAUGUUGGGUUAAGUCCCGUAACGAGCGCAACCCUUGUCCUUAGUUACCAGCACGUUAUGGUGGGCACUCUAAGGAGACUGCCGGUGACAAACCGGAGGAAGGUGGGGAUGACGUCAAGUCAUCAUGGCCCUUACGGCCUGGGCUACACACGUGCUACAAUGGUCGGUACAAAGGGUUGCCAAGCCGCGAGGUGGAGCUAAUCCCAUAAAACCGAUCGUAGUCCGGAUCGCAGUCUGCAACUCGACUGCGUGAAGUCGGAAUCGCUAGUAAUCGUGAAUCAGAAUGUCACGGUGAAUACGUUCCCGGGCCUU
RNAcentral lists this ribosomal RNA (497 nucleotides) under uncultured Pseudomonas sp. RNAcentral's name for it is "bacterial SSU rRNA". It matches the Rfam family "Bacterial small subunit ribosomal RNA", at positions 904 to 1382 of the family's 1533-position model. Lineage: Bacteria; Pseudomonadati; Pseudomonadota; Gammaproteobacteria; Pseudomonadales; Pseudomonadaceae. The record is from RNAcentral.